Molecule: ribosomal RNA, 320 nt
Filed under: uncultured Prevotella sp.
Lineage: Bacteria; Pseudomonadati; Bacteroidota; Bacteroidia; Bacteroidales; Prevotellaceae
Description: partial 16S ribosomal RNA
Source: RNAcentral
GGAGUUUGGUCCGUGUCUCAGUACCAAUGUGGGGGACCUUCCUCUCAGAACCCCUACUGAUCGUUGCCUCGGUGGGCCGUUACCCCGCCAACAACCUAAUCAGACGCAUCCCCAUCCUAUACCGAUAAAUCUUUGAUUCAACUUAGAUGUCCGCAUUGAAUAACAUAGAGUAUUAAUCCGACUUUCGCCGGGCUAUCUUCUAGUAUAGGGAAGGUUGGAUACGCGUUACUCACCCGUGCGCCGGUCGCCAUCUAUCAAAGCAAGCUCCGAUAAUGAUGCCCCUCGACUUGCAUGUGUUAAGCCUGUAGCUAGCGUUCAUC